This 2151-nucleotide ribosomal RNA is filed under the name Salicornia fruticosa. Its description in RNAcentral is "partial small subunit ribosomal RNA". The stretch from base 29 to 345 matches the Rfam family "Eukaryotic small subunit ribosomal RNA", at positions 106 to 385 of the family's 1831-position model. Lineage: Eukaryota; Viridiplantae; Streptophyta; Magnoliopsida; Caryophyllales; Amaranthaceae. The record is from RNAcentral.
AGAAAUGGGGCGCAACCAAGCCCGGUGUCCUGUAGUCUAUGCUUGAUGUGCACAUGCAAGGUGGCGACAGCCAACUCCAGAUGGUACCUGCUACUCGGAUAACCGUAGUAAUUCUAGAGCUAAUACGUGCAACAAACCCCGACUUCUGGAAGGGAUGCAUUUAUUAGAUAAAAGGUCAACGCGGGACUCUGCCCGUUGCUCUGAUGAUUCAUGAUAACUCGACGGAUCGCACGGCCUUUGCCCCGGCGACGCAUCAUUCAAAUUUCAGCCCAAUCAACUUUCAAUGGUAGCAUAGUGGCCCACCAUGGUGGUGACGGUGCACGCUAUAAUUAUGAUUCUAUUCCCCAUAGGCAAGCUGUACCACUUAAAGGGCAAGUGCCCAUGCGUGCUGGGACCCGCAAAGUAGGCAAUCCAAUUCACGCUGUUAAAAGAGACACAAAUACAACAAUAACGCGGCUCGUCAAGUAGUGGUUCUUCUAAUGAGAUUGAGCCACUUAAGAUUGUCAGCAUGGGGUGAUGGCUUUGGCUAGCUGACCUACUCCAAACAGCCCCCCCCGACGGUGGGUGCCUCGACUGUGGUCUUUUAAAUAAUAGGUUAGUCCUCUGCAGAUACCCAACGCGCCCCGAAGGGGCGGCUUCGUUGCUAAUCUUUAUAAUCAUAAAAAAAAGCAAAAAAACAUAUUUAACGCUCGUAAGGCGUGUGAGUCUAUUCAUUUGCGUUUAUGAAUAUGAUAAGAAUUAACAACAGGUUCCCUAAUUUUGCCACGCCAGGCCUCUCCUCGCUUCCAUCUAUCUGUCCUUGUAUACUAUAAGCAUAUCUAUACAGAAUUUACAGUCCGACUGGUUUGGUAUACGAGUGUGAUCUUCCGUACUCCGAUUUGUCUAUCUCCUAUCAUUUGAGGAAGUUGUCCACCUUUUUUAGUUUGCUCGUCAGUACCCAGAUUCUGGUGCGUCCGUUUGUAUCAUCUCAUGACUCUUUUACACAGAUGAGUAGUCCAUUCUCGAUACUUAUUAAGCUUGGCAACUACUUAUAGAAGACAUUAUAAACUGACUACUUGAGCUUUCUGACCACAUCAUACUCUCACUUACUCGGACAAGCAUAUCAUGUACUGUCUCUAUCUAUUUUUAACUCUGUUCAUUCUGACUUGUUGCGAGGCUUAUACGAUAUGCAUGCAUGAGCAUUCCUUCUACAAUGUAACGUUCAUGCCGGCCUAGAAUCUGAUACCACAUUUAUCUUCAUAUGAUACAUGCAUCAUUGUUUCUAGUUAUAGCUUGAUACAUGCUGUACGUAUUUAUUAACCUAUGGCGCUGAUCGCAAUACGCUGAACAUUUACUUUCGUAUUGCAUAACAUAUAUCUGUUCUUAUAUAAUGCGCUAUUAUACUUUUCAAUGUUGUGAAUGUUUCUUACUCGUAUUAAAUGUCGUAAUCAGUUUCUGCUUAGUAUACAAUUACCUAUUGGGUACAUUGUAUCCAACUUUACUACCUAUGACUGAGAUAUUAUAUGACUAAACCUAGCUCUAUCUUAAUAUGCACCACGAUCGCUUGUGAUGAUUUAGAUGUUAGCAUGUUUUAAUAUGAUUGGAUCGCAUACUAUGAUAUAUGAUGGGUGAUCUAAUAUGGAUACAUGGUUUGGCGAAGCACGAGCUUGCACCCUAGUGGUACUUCUCUGAUAUAAAAAUCUAUUAGUAUUUCGCUGUGCUAAUUCUGUGCUUGUACUAUACUUGUAUGAACAUAUAAUUCUACACACUUGACUUGAUGUGAUUGGAAUUUACUGUGGUUGAAUACUUAGUGUUGAUGCUCGCGUGUUAGUGUCGGUCAUUACGACUUUGUUCCAACUUGGUGUGCGUAGUCAUGGAUAGAAUUAUACGUCUUUAUGUUAACCACUAUGUUUGGCGUAUGAGCCUUAUGCAACGUGAUGUUGAGGGCAUAAUAGUAUAUGAAUCUCCCUAACUAGUCCGAUGUAUGAUUGAGUGCUGUGCGCUGCUACUACUUCCACCGUGCUGCUGAUACGGAUUGAAAAUACACUUCGCCACCAAAUUACGGACUUAGAUAUACACUCGUUGUAAAUAUGUACUGAACUUAAUUACUACACCCUAGUCUGCUAUCAUUCGCUACUUUCCAUGAUUUAUGAGAUAGGUCCCGACCUAUCG